RNAcentral lists this ribosomal RNA (497 nucleotides) under uncultured bacterium. Its description in RNAcentral is "partial 16S ribosomal RNA". It matches the Rfam family "Bacterial small subunit ribosomal RNA", at positions 28 to 507 of the family's 1533-position model. The record is from RNAcentral.
GAUGAACGCUGGCGGCGUGCCUAAUACAUGCAAGUCGAGCGAACGGACGAGAAGCUUGCUUCUCUGAUGUUAGCGGCGGACGGGUGAGUAACACGUGGAUAACCUACCUAUAAGACUGGGAUAACUUCGGGAAACCGGAGCUAAUACCGGAUGAUAUUUUGAACCGCAUGGUUCAAAAGUGAAAGACGGUCUUGCUGUCACUUAUAGAUGGAUCCGCGCUGCAUUAGCUAGUUGGUAAGGUAACGGCUUACCGAGGCAACGAUGCAUAGCCGACCUGAGAGGGUGAUCGGCCACACUGGAACUGAGACACGGUCCAGACUCCUACGGGAGGCAGCAGUAGGGAAUCUUCCGCAAUGGGCGAAAGCCUGACGGAGCAACGCCGCGUGAGUGGUGAAGGUCUUCGGAUCGUAAAACUCUGUUAUUAGGGAAGAACAUAUGUGUAAGUAACUGUGCACAUCUUGACGGUACCUAAUCAGAAAGCCACGGCUAACUACGUG